RNAcentral lists this ribosomal RNA (453 nucleotides) under uncultured organism. Its description in RNAcentral is "partial 16S ribosomal RNA". It matches the Rfam family "Bacterial small subunit ribosomal RNA", at positions 331 to 798 of the family's 1533-position model. The record is from RNAcentral.
GUACACUCCUACGGGAGGCAGCAGUGGGGAAUUUUACGCAAUGGGGGAAACCCUGACGUAGCGACACCGCGUGAGCGAAGAAGCCCUUUGGGGUGUAAAGCUCUGUCAGCUGGAACGAAAACAAUGACAGUACCAGCAGAGGAAGCAUCGGCUAACUACGUGCCAGCAGCCGCGGUAAGACGUAGGAUGCGAGCGUUGUCCGGAUUUAUUGGGCGUAAAGAGUUCGUAGGUGGUUUGUUAAGUUUGGUGUUAAAGAUCGGGGCUCAACCCUGGGACUGCACUGAAUACUGGCAGACUCGAGUGUGGUAGAGGCUAGUGGAAUUCCCAGUGUAGCGGUGAAAUGCGUAGAUAUUGGGAAGAACACCGGUGGCGUAGGCGACUAGCUGGGCCAUAACUGACGCUGAGGAACGAAAGCCAGGGGAGCGAAUGGGAUUAGAUACCCGAGUAGUCCCA